GAUGAACGCUGGCGGCGUGCUUAACACAUGCAAGUCGAGCGAAGCGCUUUGACGGAUUUCUUCGGAUUGAAGUCUUAGUGACUGAGCGGCGGACGGGUGGGUAACGCGUGGGUAACCUGCCUCAUACAGGGGGAUAACAGUUGGAAACGACUGCUAAUACCGCAUAAGCGCACAGUACCGCAUGGUACGGUGUGAAAAACUCCGGUGGUAUGAGAUGGACCCGCGUCUGAUUAGGUAGUUGGUGGGGUAACGGCCUACCAAGCCGACGAUCAGUAGCCGACCUGAGAGGGUGACCGGCCACAUUGGGACUGAGACACGGCCCAAACUCCUACGGGAGGCAGCAGUGGGGAAUAUUGCACAAUGGGGGAAACCCUGAUGCAGCGACGCCGCGUGAGCGAUGAAGUAUUUCGGUAUGUAAAGCUCUAUCAGCAGGGAAGAAAAUGACGGUACCUGACUAAGAAGCCCCGGCUAACUACGUGCCAGCAGCCGCGGUAAUACGUAGGGGGCAAGCGUUAUCCGGAUUUACUGGGUGUAAAGGGAGCGUAGACGGCAUGGCAAGCCAGAUGUGAAAGCCCGGGGCUCAACCCCGGGACUGCAUUUGGAACUGUCAGGCUAGAGUGUCGGAGAGGAAAGCGGAAUUCCUAGUGUAGCGGUGAAAUGCGUAGAUAUUAGGAGGAACACCAGUGGCGAAGGCGGCUUUCUGGACGAUGACUGACGUUGAGGCUCGAAAGCGUGNGGAGCAAACAGG
RNAcentral lists this ribosomal RNA (748 nucleotides) under uncultured bacterium. RNAcentral's name for it is "bacterial SSU rRNA". It matches the Rfam family "Bacterial small subunit ribosomal RNA", at positions 28 to 776 of the family's 1533-position model. The record is from RNAcentral.